UCAUCCCGACUUACCAACCCGAUGCAAACUGCGAAUACCGGAGAAUGUUAUCACGGGAGACACACGGCGGGUGCUAACGUCCGUCGUGAAGAGGGAAACAACCCAGACCGCCAGCUAAGGUCCCAAAGUCAUGGUUAAGUGGGAAACGAUGUGGGAAGGCCCAGACAGCCAGGAUGUUGGCUUAGAAGCAGCCAUCAUUUAAAGAAAGCGUAAUAGCUCACUGGUCGAGUCGGCCUGCGCGGAAGAUGUAACGGGGCUAAACCAUGCACCGAAGCUGCGGCAGCGACGCUUAUGCGUUGUUGGGUAGGGGAGCGUUCUGUAAGCCUGCGAAGGUGUGCUGUGAGGCAUGCUGGAGGUAUCAGAAGUGCGAAUGCUGACAUAAGUAACGAUAAAGCGGGUGAAAAGCCCGCUCGCCGGAAGACCAAGGGUUCCUGUCCAACGUUAAUCGGGGCAGGGUGAGUCGACCCCUAAGGCGAGGCCGAAAGGCGUAGUCGAUGGGAAACAGGUUAAUAUUCCUGUACUUGGUGUUACUGCGAAGGGGGGACGGAGAAGGCUAUGUUGGCCGGGCGACGGUUGUCCCGGUUUAAGCGUGUAGGCUGGUUUUCCAGGCAAAUCCGGAAAAUCAAGGCUGAGGCGUGAUGACGAGGCACUACGGUGCUGAAGCAACAAAUGCCCUGCUUCCAGGAAAAGCCUCUAAGCAUCAGGUAACAUCAAAUCGUACCCCAAACCGACACAGGUGGUCAGGUAGAGAAUACCAAGGCGCUUGAGAGAACUCGGGUGAAGGAACUAGGCAAAAUGGUGCCGUAACUUCGGGAGAAGGCACGCUGAUAUGUAGGUGAAGUCCCUUGCGGAUGGAGCUGAAAUCAGUCGAAGAUACCAGCUGGCUGCAACUGUUUAUUAAAAACACAGCACUGUGCAAACACGAAAGUGGACGUAUACGGUGUGACGCCUGCCCGGUGCCGGAAGGUUAAUUGAUGGGGUCAGCGCAAGCGAAGCUCUUGAUCGAAGCCCCGGUAAACGGCGGCCGUAACUAUAACGGUCCUAAGGUAGCGAAAUUCCUUGUCGGGUAAGUUCCGACCUGCACGAAUGGCGUAAUGAUGGCCAGGCUGUCUCCACCCGAGACUCAGUGAAAUUGAACUCGCUGUGAAGAUGCAGUGUACCCGCGGCAAGACGGAAAGACCCCGUGAACCUUUACUAUAGCUUGACACUGAACAUUGAGCCUUGAUGUGUAGGAUAGGUGGGAGGCUUUGAAGUGUGGACGCCAGUCUGCAUGGAGCCGGCCUUGAAAUACCACCCUUUAAUGUUUGAUGUUCUAACGUGGACCCGUGAUCCGGGUUGCGGACAGUGUCUGGUGGGUAGUUUGACUGGGGCGGUCUCCUCCUAAAGAGUAACGGAGGAGCACGAAGGUUGGCUAAUCCUGGUCGGACAUCAGGAGGUUAGUGCAAUGGCAUAAGCCAGCUUGACUGCGAGCGUGACGGCGCGAGCAGGUGCGAAAGCAGGUCAUAGUGAUCCGGUGGUUCUGAAUGGAAGGGCCAUCGCUCAACGGAUAAAAGGUACUCCGGGGAUAACAGGCUGAUACCGCCCAAGAGUUCAUAUCGACGGCGGUGUUUGGCACCUCGAUGUCGGCUCAUCACAUCCUGGGGCUGAAGUAGGUCCCAAGGGUAUGGCUGUUCGCCAUUUAAAGUGGUACGCGAGCUGGGUUUAGAACGUCGUGAGACAGUUCGGUCCCUAUCUGCCGUGGGCGCUGGAGAACUGAGGGGGGCUGCUCC
RNAcentral lists this ribosomal RNA (1769 nucleotides) under Escherichia coli. RNAcentral describes it as "partial 23S ribosomal RNA". It matches the Rfam family "Bacterial large subunit ribosomal RNA", at positions 927 to 2678 of the family's 2925-position model. Lineage: Bacteria; Pseudomonadati; Pseudomonadota; Gammaproteobacteria; Enterobacterales; Enterobacteriaceae. The record is from RNAcentral. RNAcentral also lists the same sequence under 1 other name.